This 253-nucleotide ribosomal RNA is filed under the name uncultured bacterium. RNAcentral describes it as "partial 16S ribosomal RNA". It matches the Rfam family "Bacterial small subunit ribosomal RNA", at positions 524 to 777 of the family's 1533-position model. The record is from RNAcentral.
UACGAAGGGGCUAGCGUUGCUCGGAAUCACUGGGCGUAAAGGGUGCGUAGGCGGGUCUUUAAGUCAGGGGUGAAAUCCUGGAGCUCAACUCCAGAACUGCCUUUGAUACUGAGGAUCUUGAGUUCGGGAGAGGUGAGUGGAACUGCGAGUGUAGAGGUGAAAUUCGUAGAUAUUCGCAAGAACACCAGUGGCGAAGGCGGCUCACUGGCCCGAUACUGACGCUGAGGCACGAAAGCGUGGGGAGCAAACAGGG